This 21-nucleotide non-coding RNA is filed under the name Caenorhabditis elegans. Lineage: Eukaryota; Metazoa; Nematoda; Chromadorea; Rhabditida; Rhabditidae. The record is from RNAcentral.
UGUUGUAUUUUCGUUCAAUUU